GUCCUGGACUAAAGGAGGGAGGACGUCUGAGGGACUCACAGAUCUGUUUCAGAGGAGAAGGACGGACACGCACCUGCUCAGCUUGUCUUCCUGGUGGUGUCCCCCCAGGGGAGACCGUCGCACGCCCCCCGUUUGGAUGCUGUUUGCUCCAAGCCACCUGCUGAUGGGAACUGAGUUUCCCAGAUAGGUUUCUGUCCUGGGAGGGAGACGAACGGAGAGUCCGACACGACCAUCCGGUCUUCUUGGCAGUGGAACUUCUCACAGAAAAUGAAGAUUCUGGCUCCUGCCUGCGAUGAUGCCGUUGGGGGCUGUGAGGCAGAUGGUGUUUAAUGAUGACCAAGGAGAGAUAUGGAAAAGGAGCCAGUGCCCAUCCCCCCCCCCAUCUCGCAAACCUAAAGGAGACCUGAGCUGGUGUGUGGAGCUCUACACUGGAUGUGAGUCGGGAGUUAGCUGCCUUCGCGCCUUGUUAAAACCGAGGACCACAUUUGCUGAUGUCCAGACUUUUCAGACCUUUUCUCUCUUUCUUUCCCUAGAAGACCCACCCGGCUUCUUGCAGGUAAAACCAUCACUUUCAAGAACAGAGGAAUGCCAGCGGGAUGGGCGUGUGGCCGUUAUGAUGUCACCCAUCUUCGGAGACAAGACCUUGCCGAGCCGUCGCCCCCUGCUGGCCAUUAUGACAACCCGCGAUGACACCCCAGACCAGUCUCGGGUGAAAGCCUGA
Molecule: long non-coding RNA, 721 nt
Filed under: Sus scrofa (pig)
Lineage: Eukaryota; Metazoa; Chordata; Mammalia; Artiodactyla; Suidae
Description: lncRNA (ENSSSCG00070005437.1)
Source: RNAcentral